UGCCCCGUGAAAAAAAUACGGGGUAAUUCCUGCCCGGUGACACAACGUUCAACGGCCGCGGUAUCCUAACCGUGCAAAGGUAGCAUAAUCACUUGCCUAUUAAUUGUAGGCUAGAAUGAAAGGACCCACGAAAUAAAAACUGUCUCAAUUAGUCACCUAAAAAUUAUUCUCUACCUGAAGAAAAGUAGAUAGCCUCGAAGGACAAGAAGACCCUAUAGAGCUUUAUUAUAAUUAUAGAACUAAACUAUAAAAAUAUUCGGUUGGGGCGACCCCGGGCUAAAUAAUCACCCUCUAAAUAAAAGAUAUAUAAAUCAAAUAAAUGACCCUUUAAAGAUCAAAAAAUAAGCUACCUUAGGGAUAACAGGCUAAUCCCAUUUAAGAGUCCUUAUCAACAAUGGGGGUUGGCACCUCGAUGUUGGCUUAGGGUAUCUAUAUAACGCAAAAGUUAUAUAAAGAUGGUUUGUUCAACCAAUAAUUCCCU
Molecule: ribosomal RNA, 481 nt
Filed under: Pheretima sp. NVizcaya3
Lineage: Eukaryota; Metazoa; Annelida; Clitellata; Crassiclitellata; Megascolecidae
Description: partial 16S rRNA
Rfam family: Bacterial large subunit ribosomal RNA
Source: RNAcentral